GUGGAAAGCGGCGGACGGGUGAGUAACGCGUAGGCAACCUGCCCUUUGCAGAGGGAUAGCCUCGGGAAACCGGGAUUAAAACCUCAUGACACCUCUUAAAGACAUCUUUGAGAGGUCAAAGAUUUAUCGGCAAAGGAUGGGCCUGCGUCUGAUUAGCUAGUUGGUGGGGUAACGGCCUACCAAGGCGACGAUCAGUAGCCGACCUGAGAGGGUGAUCGGCCACAUUGGAACUGAGACACGGUCCAAACUCC
This 251-nucleotide ribosomal RNA is filed under the name uncultured Anaerovorax sp. RNAcentral describes it as "partial 16S ribosomal RNA". It matches the Rfam family "Bacterial small subunit ribosomal RNA", at positions 88 to 339 of the family's 1533-position model. The record is from RNAcentral. Lineage: Bacteria; Bacillati; Bacillota; Clostridia; Peptostreptococcales; Anaerovoracaceae.